This 317-nucleotide unclassified non-coding RNA is filed under the name uncultured Tomentella. Its description in RNAcentral is "sequence contains 5.8S rRNA gene". Lineage: Eukaryota; Fungi; Basidiomycota; Agaricomycetes; Thelephorales; Thelephoraceae. The record is from RNAcentral.
GAACGCACCUUGCGCCCUUUGGCUAUUCCGAAGGGCAUGCCUGUUUGAGUAUCAUGAACAUCUCAACUCCUCACGGUUCACCUGUGAGGAGCUUGGACUUUGGGGGUCUUGCUGGCCUGUGGGUCGGCUCCUCUCAAACGAAUCAGCUUGCCGGUGUUUGGUGGCGUCCCAGGUGUGAUAACUAUCUACGCUUGUGGUUUUCUGCCAGGUAACCUCCAGCAAUGGGGGUUCACUGGAGCUCACAAACGUCUCUCCUCGGUGAGGACAGCUCUUUGAACAUUUGAUCUCAAAUCAGGUAGGACUACCCGCUGAACUUA